AUGUCUUCAAGUUUCAGCUGGGGCUACAUGGAGGGCCCGUUCAAGGGCCACCCUCCGCACGGCUGCCGCGUUGAGUUCUUCGAUGUCCGUGUCUUCCACGUCGAUGAAGACACCAAGGUGGAGAAGGCAGAGUUCUUCUACGAGCGUGGCAACUUCCUCGCAAACUUCUUGUCUGCGCCUGCUACUUCUGCUUCUGCUGCGUCGGCUUAA
RNAcentral lists this ribosomal RNA (210 nucleotides) under Triticum aestivum (bread wheat). Its description in RNAcentral is "partial small subunit ribosomal RNA". Lineage: Eukaryota; Viridiplantae; Streptophyta; Magnoliopsida; Poales; Poaceae. The record is from RNAcentral.